This 1439-nucleotide ribosomal RNA is filed under the name uncultured organism. Its description in RNAcentral is "16S ribosomal RNA". It matches the Rfam family "Bacterial small subunit ribosomal RNA". The record is from RNAcentral.
CAGGCUUAACACAUGCAAGUCGAGGGGCAGCAUGGCCUUAGCUUGCUAAGGCCGAUGGCGACCGGCGCACGGGUGAGUAACACGUAUCCAACCUGCCGUCUACUCUUGGACAGCCUUCUGAAAGGAAGAUUAAUACAAGAUGGCAUCAUGAGUCCGCAUGUUCACAUGAUUAAAGGUAUUCCGGUAGACGAUGGGGAUGCGUUCCAUUAGAUAGUAGGCGGGGUAACGGCCCACCUAGUCUUCGAUGGAUAGGGGUUCUGAGAGGAAGGUCCCCCACAUUGGAACUGAGACACGGUCCAAACUCCUACGGGAGGCAGCAGUGAGGAAUAUUGGUCAAUGGGCGAGAGCCUGAACCAGCCAAGUAGCGUGAAGGAUGACUGCCCUAUGGGUUGUAAACUUCUUUUAUAAAGGAAUAAAGUCGGGUAUGGAUACCCGUUUGCAUGUACUUUAUGAAUAAGGAUCGGCUAACUCCGUGCCAGCAGCCGCGGUAAUACGGAGGAUCCGAGCGUUAUCCGGAUUUAUUGGGUUUAAAGGGAGCGUAGAUGGAUGUUUAAGUCAGUUGUGAAAGUUUGCGGCUCAACCGUAAAAUUGCAGUUGAUACUGGAUAUCUUGAGUGCAGUUGAGGCAGGCGGAAUUCGUGGUGUAGCGGUGAAAUGCUUAGAUAUCACGAAGAACUCCGAUUGCGAAGGCAGCCUGCUAAGCUGCAACUGACAUUGAGGCUCGAAAGUGUGGGUAUCAAACAGGAUUAGAUACCCUGGUAGUCCACACGGUAAACGAUGAAUACUCGCUGUUUGCGAUAUACUGCAAGCGGCCAAGCGAAAGCGUUAAGUAUUCCACCUGGGGAGUACGCCGGCAACGGUGAAACUCAAAGGAAUUGACGGGGGCCCGCACAAGCGGAGGAACAUGUGGUUUAAUUCGAUGAUACGCGAGGAACCUUACCCGGGCUUAAAUUGCAGAUGAAUUACGGUGAAAGCCGUAAGCCGCAAGGCAUCUGUGAAGGUGCUGCAUGGUUGUCGUCAGCUCGUGCCGUGAGGUGUCGGCUUAAGUGCCAUAACGAGCGCAACCCUUGUUGUCAGUUACUAACAGGUUCCGCUGAGGACUCUGACAAGACUGCCAUCGUAAGAUGUGAGGAAGGUGGGGAUGACGUCAAAUCAGCGCGGCCCUUACGUCCGGGGCUACACACGUGUUACAAUGGGGGGUACAGAGGGCCGCUACCACGCGAGUGGAUGCCAAUCCCCAAAACCUCUCUCAGUUCGGACUGGAGUCUGCAGCCCGACUCCACGAAGCUGGAUUCGCUAGUAAUCGCGCAUCAGCCACGGCGCGGUGAAUACGUUCCCGGGCCUUGUACACACCGCCCGUCAAGCCAUGGGAGCCGGGGGUACCUGAAGUGCGUAACCGCGAGGAGCGCCCUAGGGUAAAACUGGUGACUGGGGCUAAGU